RNAcentral lists this ribosomal RNA (484 nucleotides) under uncultured bacterium. RNAcentral describes it as "bacterial SSU rRNA". It matches the Rfam family "Bacterial small subunit ribosomal RNA", at positions 28 to 514 of the family's 1533-position model. The record is from RNAcentral.
GAUGAACGCUAGCGGCAGGCCUAACACAUGCAAGUCGAGGGGUAGUUACUUUCGGGUAAUGAGACCGGCGCACGGGUGCGUAACGCGUAUGCAAUCUACCUUUUACAGGGGAAUAGCCCAGAGAAAUUUGGAUUAAUGCCCCAUAGUAUGUAUGAAUCGCAUGGUUUAUACAUUAAAGUUCCAACGGUAAAGAUGAGCAUGCGUCCCAUUAGUUAGUUGGUAAGGUAACGGCUUACCAAGACGAUGAUGGGUAGGGGUCCUGAGAGGGAGAUCCCCCACACUGGUACUGAGACACGGACCAGACUCCUACGGGAGGCAGCAGUGAGGAAUAUUGGACAAUGGGCGCAAGCCUGAUCCAGCCAUGCCGCGUGCAGGAAGAAGCAUCUAUGGUGUGUAAACUGCUUUUGUACAGGAAGAAACACUCCCUCGUGAGGGAGCUUGACGGUACUGUAAGAAUAAGGAUCGGCUAACUCCGUGCCAGCAG